AUGAACGCUGGCGGCGUGCCUAAUACAUUCCAGUCGAGCGAACAGACGAGGAGCUUGCUCCUCUGACGUUAGCGGCGGACGGGUGAGUAACACGUGGAUAACCUACCUAUAAGACUGGGAUAACUUCGGGAAACCGGAGCUAAUACCGGAUAAUAUAUUGAACCGCAUGGUUCAAUAGUGAAAGACGGUUUUGCUGUCACUUAUAGAUGGAUCCGCGCCGCAUUAGCUAGUUGGUAAGGUAACGGCUUACCAAGGCAACGAUGCGUAGCCGACCUGAGAGGGUGAUCGGCCACACUGGAACUGAGACACGGUCCAGACUCCUACGGGAGGCAGCAGUAGGGAAUCUUCCGCAAUGGGCGAAAGCCUGACGGAGCAACGCCGCGUGAGUGAUGAAGGUCUUCGGAUCGUAAAACUCUGUUAUUAGGGAAGAACAAAUGUGUAAGUAACUAUGCACGUCUUGACGGUACCUAAUCAGAAAGCCACGGCUAACUACGUG
RNAcentral lists this ribosomal RNA (496 nucleotides) under uncultured bacterium. RNAcentral's name for it is "partial 16S ribosomal RNA". It matches the Rfam family "Bacterial small subunit ribosomal RNA", at positions 29 to 507 of the family's 1533-position model. The record is from RNAcentral.